Acanthosepion pharaonis is the source of this 112-nucleotide non-coding RNA. NCBI's taxonomy places the organism in Eukaryota, Metazoa, Mollusca, Cephalopoda, Sepiida, Sepiidae. The record is from the annotation of a GenBank genome assembly.
UUCGGCCAUAUCACGUUGAAAAACCGGUUCUCAUCCAAUCACUGAAAUUAAGUAACGUUGAACCUGGUCAGUACCUACAUGAGUGACGGCUCGUGAAUAUCAGGGGCUGUAA